AUUUUUCCAAAAUAGGAGCCAAAAUAUUUGCUGCCCCUUUAGCCUAAACAGUAGUGAUCCAUUAAACUGUGGAAACCCUCUCUAUACCCUCCAUUGCGAGAAAAAUACCUCCACAGUUUUGUAUUUAGACUCACGAGAAUACUACGUGCAGGCAAUCAACUACAACAACUUGACAAUCCGAGUGGUUGAUGCUGGUGUUACACAAAAUGAUUGCUCUUCUCUUCCUCAUUUUUCUUUAACAUAUGCAAGAUUAGGUAAUUCCAGAAGUGCAUAUAAUAUUUCUACUUCAACAAAUACAGGCUUAGAUUAUAUCAGAUUUCCAUAUACAUGGUUUCAAUACAAAGAGACAAGGCGGAAAUGGAUUCCCGAAUACAAGCCUCUCCCGUUAUCGCAGAUGAUGAUUUUUAUAAACUGUGCAAAUCCAGUGAAUUCUCCUCUGUACGUAGAAUCCGGUACUUGCCUUAAUGGAGAAAAAUCUUCCAAUGUUUCACUCUUGAGGCGUUCUUAUGUGAAUAUUGGUGGCAUGAAGGCCUCGGAUCUAAUGGAACUGUGCAGCUUAGAGAGGAUGACGUUGUUGCCAGCCAAGGAUUACAAGAACAUGUCCUUUAAGGAUAUUCAGAGUCAGCUGGAAUACGGGUUUGAGAUUUCAUGGCACAAUAGCAUGUGUGGGAGUUGUGAAUAUGAAUGCUACAUCUAUGAUUCGAACCUGACACGCUGCGCAGGUGGGCAAUAUUGAGUAACAAACUGUUCGUUUUUCUAUCUCCAACUUCUCUUGUCUCAAAAUAUAUGAUUACUCUGUUUCUGAGAUGGCUGCCAGCUCUUGAUGAAGACGCCUCCUUAGCAUACCUGUGUUCGUUCUCUUCAUUGCUGUGGAGCUAAGAGGAUUAGGAGGUGUACUUAACCUGUCUCCUUCACCUUCCAGCAUCUGGACAACAAUUUUCAUGGAAGGACGGUCCACUGGGUUCCACUGGAUGCACCACAGUCCCACAAUGGCUAGCUUCUUCGCAAUUUUAGCAUCCCCUUCUUCCUCGAUUUGGAACCGCAGGUCUUCUCCUUCUUCUAAAAGAUUAUAAAUCCAUUCUGGGAAGUAUACUUGAUCACCAUUUUCUGCUGUAUCAUCAACAUUUUUCCUUCCACCAACCAUUUCUAACACCAACAUUCCGAAACUGUACACGUCUGUUUCUUGAGAACACUUCAGGUGCUAUGUAGCCAACGGUUCCCCGAGCUGUUGUCAUGGAAAUAGCACUUUUAUACUUGGAACACAACUUAGCCAGACCGAAAUCUGCAAUCUUGGGAUUGAAGUCAUUGUCCAGCAGGAUAUUAUGCGGUUUGAUAUCAAAGUGGAGGAUUGUUUGAUCACAACUCUGGUGAAGAUAUUCAAUCCCUUUGGCUACUCCAAGGGCAAUAUGAUGCAGCCUUUCCCAGCCAAGGAAAACAUUCUUGGUGUUUGCAGAAGAUAUGAACUUCUGCAGCGAAUCGUUUGGCAAGUACUCGUAAACUAGAGCUCGUCUGAAUCCAUCAGCACAGAAGCCAAUCAAGCGGACUACAUUGACAUGGUGAAUCCUAGCCAUUGUUUCCAUUUCAUUGACGAAUUCCUCUCCUUUUUCUGAUGAAUUGUUUAGAACCUUAACAGCCACCGGAAUCUCACUGGUUAGCAUUCCUUUGAACACAGUUCCAUAAGCUCCUUGCCCCAAUUCAUCCCUGAAUUGAUUUGUCAUCUUUUUGAGAUCAGCAUGGGAGUAUCUUGUGGGGUUCAUAGCUCUGUAAUCAUCCAAAAACCUUUCAACCUUGUCCUGAUAUUCUUCUUCUGAUUUUCUGAAGCUAUAGAUUUGGUAGACUGCAAUGACCAAAACCCCGAAAAGGAUGGAUCCUGUGGUUACGCCUGCAUAUAUAAACAAGCCUUUUGAGUCAAGAGACAUGUUCUUUUUUGGAAGCAAUGUAUUGGAGCAAAUUUGAGAACAACUAACCUAAAGUCAGUCGCUUUUUCCGUGCACCUGUAGAAGAUAAGAACCCUUGUUAAGCUCUAAUUUUCUGAAAGUUUCUGAAGUCAUGAUAAUAUCCUCUAUUUGUAGAAUCAAGAACGCUAAAUGCACAGGGAACCCACUUGUCAGUGAACUCACUAGUAGAUAGGACUUAGGUGUUCAAGGACACUUGCAAUACAUUAAUCAAAGUAGAGAUGUAGACUUAGUGAAGCAAGGAAUCAUAGAAAAUCAAGAUGCCAUGAACACAGAACAAUGAAAAGAAAGCUUAAAGCUAAAGAUACCUUUCUCUGGUCUGGGAUUGAACCAGGAGAGACGAAUAUCUUGUGGAACAGGUAGGUCGUACAUCUUGGUACAAGAUAAUAAUAACUCGUUGUCAUCAAUAGAUUGUUCUGAAUCAACGGCAAGAACGUCAUAGUGGAGAGUGCUGAGACAAGGGAUUUUAGGCCGAGAUGUUGCGUUAUUUAAAGAGCAAUUGAAGAUGGUAAAAUUGUCCUUGGACAUCUUAAACUGUAUGUGAAACACAGAGGAUUUGAAGUUUGAGUGGUGGCUUCGAAGGCAACCUUGGGGAUCACUUGCCUAAAUAACUUGAUUUUUGUAGUCAAUCUUAUCUAUGUAGAGUUUCACUGCAGCUGGCAGCUCGAGCACUAUAUCGCCCAUCUCAUUACAAGACAGAUCAAAACCAUAAUAGCCACACUGUUCUGGCUGCCUAUCCUCUUGGGUCAGGAUUUCUCUGGUGAUGGGGGAGAGAACAAGGAAUUCUUGUUUUUUAUUAAUAAAAAAACAGAUCGAGUCGUCACCUAAUAUUUUGAUCAUUAGAUACUCUAACUAGUUUUAGAGUUUAGAUACGAGAACUAGUUGUGUAUAGAGAUGAUUUAUCAUCCCUUGUACACCUUACGUAAAGUAAACUGUAUUGUUUAUUUGUCUGAUAUAAACUAAGAUAUUGUUGUGUUUUUUAAUUGUUGAUCUGUCUAAGGUUUAAGAAAAGUUCUUCUUGAUAACAAGGUCCUUAUCUUAUUAGGUUAAAUCCUAGUAAUUCUAAAAUCAAAAUGUAAAAAUAAAAGAAAGUGUCUUUUUAUUCAAUAUCAUGAAUGCAUCUUAUGUUUAAGUUCACAGUCUCAUUUAUUAAAAAGAAACAAAAUAAUUUUUUUAGGUAUUUUUAAAAUAUAGACCAAGUUCUCAAGACUUUAAUAAACCAGUUAUCAAAUUCAAUGCGCAUGUAAAAUAAAAAGACUAUUUUUUGUGAUUUCUUAAUAUGCUAUAAUAUGCAAAUAUAAUUUAUUUUUGAGAUAUUUGACCAUUUGCACACAAAUAAAAAUAUAUUUUUGUAUUUUUCUUUGAAUAAUAGUGACACGAUCAAAAGAUUGAUGUCUUAUCCCAAGUGCAGGAGUGCCGAAGUAAUAAAUAACCUAGCAAGACCGGUGUCGAAUCACAUGGAGGUUAACUAUAUAAAUUAACAAGAAGAAGAAGAAGAAGAAGAAGAAGAAGUUAAAGAGGACUUUGAGAUUGUAAGAUUAACAUGAGGUUUGAACAAUGAUAAAAACAAGUGUCAGGUUAAAGGAUCCACUAAUAGUAUUAGAUAUAAGUAAAAGUAUAAACUCUUUAUAAAUUAUUAACAUGAUCAUAUUAAUCAUUUUAUUUAUGUAAUACCAUAUUUAUAAAUUUUAUCAAGUAUUCAUGAUGUUAACUUAUGUUGACAGUAAAUCAAGUUCCUCUUAUAAUAACGAUGUCGACUGAAAGAUCAAGUAUUUGAUAUACCAAGUGUUAUACAACACAAAUCUAGAUUAACCAUUUAACAAGUAAGGUAUUAAGAAUUAAUAAGAUAAAAAUGAUAAGACAUGUUAAUAGUAAUGUGAAUUAAUAUUUUGGUUCUACUGGGCAUUCAAGAGUUGAUAUAUAUAUAUAUAUAACUGUUCUUAAUAAUUCACAUUUUGUUAUGUUUUGAUUGUUGGUGUUGAUGAUGGAGAGAAAAAAAACUUUGAGAAGAGCAGGGUAAAGGGAGAAGGAUGAGCUCCGAGGUAGUGUAGACUAAAUUGAUUGGUCGCGCUUCACUGUGGGCUGGGUUAAUUUCUUUGUAGCUGAUAAAAACGAUGUUAAAGCUUGACCACUGUCUUCUAAAAAGUGGAAAAAAAUUAAUGACUCAAACAUAAUCGAAAAAAAACUAAAAAAUAAUAAUCUUUAAACUGAAUCAAACUCUAAAAUAAUAAAAUUGAAAAAAAAAAUCUAUACAAAAAAAUACUAAAAAAUAAAAUACUAGUAAGAGAUCAUCAAAAUAUGUCAAACCUUAAAUAUUAAAAAAAUAUUGAAUUCAAGGAUUAAAACAAAUUCAUAAAAGAAUCCAAAACAUAAAAAAAAAAUUCAAUUUUCAAUCAAUUCAAUGAUUAUAGAUGAAAAUUUUAAAAAUAAUUAAAAAUUAUUGAAGUGAACCCAGUCCAAUCUUCCAAUUUGUAAUAGAUCAUGAGACCAGAUCACAACUUAAAAGAAAAACAAGAAAAAAUAAAAAUGUAAAAUUCUAAAUCAACCAAAAUAAUUAGGGAUAAACAUGAAAAAAAAUGAUUUUAAAAUGUAGAUUUGAAAAGAAAAAAACCAAAUUUGACUAAAAAAAACAAAUCAUAAGGGAUGAAAUUAGAAAAUAAUUUCAAUUAAGAAAAUGAUAAAAACAACAAAAAACAACAAUAAAAAAUAAGUAUUAUAUUUGAUAUAAAAAUAAAAUGUCAAGAUAUGAAAUUUAAAAACAAAUUAAUACAAUAAAUGAUUGAAAACAAAAAAACAUUAUAAUUAGAAGAAUAAAAAUCAAAUCUAAUAUAAAAAUAAAGUAUAAAUGGAUGCAAUUAAAAAAAUAAUUAAUUUAAUGAAUAAUUCAAAACCAAAUAAAUUUGAUUAAUUUAAUGAACAACACUAACAGGAAAGAUCCCGCCGGGUUGGUUGUGCUCCAUUCACCGGUGAACGUCACCGGCCACACAAUCCCGACCAGUGGUUUUGAAAGGCAGAACCUUAGAAACCCAAAAUCGGAAAAUUUGAAUCACCCUCUCUACUCCUUCCUAAGAAAAUCCCUCCUUACAAUCCCCCCUCUCUUUAUCCCAGCAAAGACAAGAGAACAAAAUGGUGGAAGAGAAGUCACGCAUCUGAGCAUCAAAAGCAAGGAAAGAAAAAACCAAAAAUAGUCUUUCAUCCAAAAACCAUAAGGACGAGAAUAAAAAUGGACCCCAUGAAAUAUUUGUCUACAGUGUUCCGACUUGGGACAGCGUCAACAAUUUCACCUAAAAACAGCGCAUUAUUUCUUUCUUGCCCUCCUACCUCCACAUCUUUUUUCUGAAUAUUUCCAUAACCUGCGAACUUAGCCAUCCUACGAAGAAAAACGCUUUCCUUUUAUUGUAAUUCUUUUAUUACUUACAAGUGGGGCCAAUGGCAAAUGGAGUAAAUUAGUGAUUGACUAGCCUUAUUCCCAAGCUCUGCUGUGGGUGAAGUUUCAUGUUAAUUUUUAACGCAAGAACACAAAACGAUGGAUGCAUUUUGGGGUCUUCGGAAUUAUCUAUGUUUAAUAAAAUAAAAUAAAUAAAUAAGAGAUAUUAACACUAAUUAAAUAAUAGAAUGAAAAUUUAAUCAUGUAAUAAAAGCAAAAAAUAAAUACAAAUGUAAAUUCUUGAUACACGUGCCGUUUAAAAUGCAUCAACACUUUCUACAGGCAGGCACAUAUAGCUUUUUAAAAUUAAAUAUUAUUUUAUUAUUAUAAAAUACAAUAAUAUCUUGAUAAAAAAAUAAUAAAUAACUAACUUGAAAAGACUUAAAUAUCCCUUGAUCAAAAACAUUGAUUUUGUUCACUUAAAAGAGCAUUUUAGUAAUCUAACCAUAACUUAAAAUAUAAAAGACUGAUAAUACCCUCAAACUAAAAACAUAUAAACCAACAAUACCUUCUUAAGCAAGAACACCUGUUAUUUAAAUGAGAGGUUAAAUAAUAAUAAUUUUACUAUUAUAAUACACAAUAAAAAGUGUAUUUCGCUGCUCCAAGACCCCUUCCGAUUCAGUAUAUAUGUUAUAUAUUUAUGCAAUGUAAAUAUACUUGGUUGCCUAUGGUAAAUUAAAGGUACAAUACGGCUGCCCUUACUGAAUAUAUUUAAUCAAAUUUAAGACAAUCAUCAUAAAACAAGGUACGUAUGGCUGCCCUUAGUGAAUUAAAGGUCCUUUUUGGAGGCCAAGAUCACACUAUACAUUCCGAAAUGACUAUAAGUACAUAUCUAAAAUAAAAAUCGAAGUGCUUUGUCACUAAUCAGUAUAGAAAGAAUAGUAAUGAAAAAUUCAGAGGUAUAUUUUAAUUGAUUAUAUUUUAAAUUUAUGUUUUAGAAAUUAUCAGUUUAAAUCUCAAAAAUUUAAACAAAAUUUCCAUGAUCCAUGCAGUAGUUGUAAUGUAUGAUUUACAUUAUUUUUCUUUUUUAUCAAAUGUUAAUAGUUUCAUCAAGGCCGUAGGUUCAUGCUAGAUGCGUUAAGCCCAAUGCUUUGGUCUUAAUAAAUUGGCCGCGUUAAAAAACAAAGUUGAUCCAAAAAUAUAUUUUAAAAAUAUUAUGUAACACAGGACAAAUCAUGCAAGUUCAAUAAUUAUGAAAAAUAUUGUUUUAUUUUUUUCUUUAAAAAGGUAAAGUGAACAAUUAAUGUGAAAGAUGGAGUGGUUAAAUUGUUUUUUAAAAUGUUUUUUAUUUAUCAAGAUCCUGAGCAAUUUAGACUCACUCCAAGUUCUGCAAUGAACAUGAAAUAGAACAAGCAAAUAGCCUUUUUUGUUGAACCCCCCAUCAUUGCCUCCUAUGGUGAUAGAGUUUCGACCUAACAGUAUCUAGAUAUUGCAGAAACAAUAGUAAACUCAGAUGGGAACAGCAAUGGUAACUCUGAUACCUUCUUUUUAUGACAGCUGAAGGGUAAUUCUGAUACCUUCGUUUUACUUGCCUAGAUUAAGUACUCAGAAUUGACCUCUCUUGCGUUCAAUGUAGUUCCGUGUCAACAAGGAUUAUUGCACCCUCACUUUCUUUCCACUUUCAAGGGAAAGAGGAGGGAAGCAGAGCUUGGACUUACCUGGUACACUUGGGUUGUUGAUCUUUGGAUUUUUUCACAAAUUAUUGCCAAGAAGGUUAUCAUGUUCUCUAUUAUAUGUUGACGCUUGUGGUGUUUAGAAUUGAUGGAUUUGUGGUUUAUAUCAAAGUCAUCCUUGACAUUUCAAAGGAUGACUCGGUGAAUUUAAUAUACUGAUGAAACUCUUGCAUUAAAAAACUGGCUUUCAGGUGUGGUGAAAUAUUUAGAUAUGAUUUAUAUUAUUUUUUUAAUAUAUAUGUUCAAUUAAAAGCCUUUUGUGCUUAAAACUUGUACAGACUCCUACUACCUUAUAUUUAAUUUUUAUCAAAUAAAUAAGAGUGAUGAGAAUCAAAUUAUUACUAAGAAGGUUAUCAUAUUGUCUAUAUGUUGACCCUUGUGGUGUUGAGAGUUGAUGGAUUUGUGGUUUAUAUCAAAGUAAUCUUUGACAUUUCAAAGGAUGACUUGGUAAGUUUAAUAUGUUGAUGAAACUCUCGCAUUGAAAAAUUGGCUUUCAGGUGUGGUGAAGUAUCUAGAUAUUAUUUAUAUUAUUUUUUAAUAUAUAUGUUCAAUUAAAAGCCUUUUGUGCUUAAAACUUGUACAUACUCGCACUACCUUAUGCUUAAUUUUUAUCAAAUAAAUAAGAAUGGUGAGAUUCGAAUUAUUUCUAAGAAGGUUAUCAUAUUGUUAGAGCGUGUUUGAGAGUGUGGUUAUUGUUGCUUUUCAAAGUAUUUUUCACUUAGAAAAGCAUGCCAAUAAUAUUUUUUUUUUUUAAAAAAAUUAUUUUUGAGAUCAGCACAUCAAAAUGAUUUGAAAACAUCAAAACAUACUAAUUCAAAGCAAAAAAAAAAAAUUCAAUAUUUUUGAAAAAUGCUUUUCUACCGCACUACCAAACGACCUCUAUAUGUUGACGCAUAUGGUGUUGAGAGUUGAUGGAUUUGUGGUUUAUAUCAAAGUAAUCUUUGACAUUUCAAAGGAUGACUUGGUAAAUUUAAUAUGCUGAUGAAACUCUCACAUUGAAAAACUAGCUUUAAGGUAUGAUGAAAUAUCUAGAUAUGAUUUAUAUUAUUUUUUAAUAUAUUUGUUUAAUUGAAAGUCUUUUGGGCUUAAAACUUGUACACACUCGCACUAUCUUAUGCUUAAUUUUUAUCAAAUCAAUAAGGAUGGUGAGAUUCAAAUUAUUGCUAAAAAGGUUAUCAUAUUUUCUAUAUGUUGACACUUGUGGUGUUGAGAUUUGAUGGAUUUGUGGUUUAUAUCAAAGUAAUCUUUGACAUUUCAAAGGAUGACUCGGUAAAUUUAAUAUGCUGAUGAAAUUCUCGCAUUAAAAAAACUGGUUUUAAAGUAUAGUGAGAUAUCUAGAUAUGAUUUAUAUAUAUAUAUAUAUUUUAAUAUAUAUAUAUAUAUAUAUAUAUAUGUUUAAUUAAAUGUCUGUUGAGCUUAAAAUUUGUACAAAUUCACACUACCUUAUGUUUAAUUUUUAUAAAAUAAAUUAGGAUGGUUAGAUUUAUAUUAUUUAAUAUUACUGCUCUAACUGUUGUCUUUAAAGACUUGAUGGAUUGUUCAUGGACUACACACUGUUUCUCCACCCAUGGCUAGGCUCCUCUUUGCUGGCUACAUAGCCUUACUGCUCCUGCUGCUAGUCUUCCAAAACAGCAACUGCAAGGAUACCAAUCCCUGUGCCCCUUCUUCAUGUGGCAACCAGACUAUUAGCUACCCCUUUAGCCUAAACAGUAGUGAUCCAUUAAACUGUGGAAACGCUCUCUAUACCCUCCACUGCGAGAAAAAUACCUCCACAGUUUUGUAUUUAGACUCACGAAAAUACUACGUGCAGGCAAUCAACUACAACAACUUGACAAUCCGAGUGGUUGAUGCUGGUGUUGAAGAAAAUGAUUGCUCUUCGCUUCCUGAUUUUUCUUUAGCAUUUGAUAGCCUAGGUAAUUCCAUAAGGGCAUAUAAUUUUUUUACUUUAGCAUUUACA
This 9012-nucleotide long non-coding RNA is filed under the name Populus tremula. RNAcentral's name for it is "long non-coding RNA (PTRE_LNC002645)". The record is from RNAcentral. Lineage: Eukaryota; Viridiplantae; Streptophyta; Magnoliopsida; Malpighiales; Salicaceae.